Sinocyclocheilus anshuiensis is the source of this 517-nucleotide long non-coding RNA. RefSeq lists it as uncharacterized. The record is from RefSeq and is a predicted model, not a curated record. Lineage: Eukaryota; Metazoa; Chordata; Actinopteri; Cypriniformes; Cyprinidae. The transcript has 5 exons.
AGCUGCACUUCUGCUACUGUGUACACAUGGGCUACUUGUUCAUAAAUUAAACGUUUACAGAUACAGUCAUGGACGCAGCGUUUCUUCUACCCAGAAUGCUGCAGUGAGAGGAAGUUGUCUCUGCUUACGCUGAAGCUCAGGGCAGUCCACUGAUUCGAUCAGUAUAACAGCGCAGGCAGAGGACGAGGAGCGCAGACGGGAGAGAACAGACGGCGAGGACGGGUGAAGAUGGCGAUGCGUCGCGCUCCGAGUGAGAAGAGCUCAUUAAAACGAAGAAGAUUAAGGAAGAGAAUGGCGUCGACCCGUUCAGACGAAAGAGCAGUUCUCGACGGUGGGAACAUGGAAUCAGAACAACUAGAUGAAAGAUGAUGGCGUUUCGUUCAGUCACAUAUCAUGUAAAUGUUCCUGAUCUGCCAAACGUCAAAGAAAGAUGAGGAAAAGGAUUUUCGCUGUGAUGUUUGCCUGAAGAGGAAGCUUCAGCAAAGUUUCAAGGAAGGGAAGACUACUCUGUAAGUCC